AGUUAUGAAAUUCUGGGCUCUGAAGCCAGGCCACCAAAAUCAUUAUGGCGUAUUUGGUGAGGAAUUAGAUGGUAUUGAGAAAUAUUUAGAAAGAAAUAGUAGCUAGAAUCUUGUUUAUUAUUCUUGUACAACAAAAAUGAGAAAUAUUUAGAAAGAAAUAGUAGCUAGAAUCUUGUUUAUCAUUCUUGUCCAACAAAAAUACAGUGUACUUGAUGCAGUAGAUCCUAGUUUGUCGAUAGUUGUAUUCUAAUUAUGAUUAUCGCAGGUGGUUAUCUUGCAAGAG
Molecule: long non-coding RNA, 283 nt
Filed under: Olea europaea (common olive)
Lineage: Eukaryota; Viridiplantae; Streptophyta; Magnoliopsida; Lamiales; Oleaceae
Description: long non-coding RNA (OEUR_LNC002809)
Source: RNAcentral